Non-coding RNA from Chlorocebus sabaeus (green monkey), 896 nucleotides. The record is from RefSeq and is a predicted model, not a curated record. Lineage: Eukaryota; Metazoa; Chordata; Mammalia; Primates; Cercopithecidae.
AAAAAAAAAAAAAAACCCGAUUGUAUAUUCUAUUUACUGCGAUAGGAGAAAACCGCCUUAGGGCUGGAGGUGAGCUGUGCGUGCCAUGUUUGCUUUUGCACAUCAAGGCACGGCACCUUUCCUUAAACUUAUUUAUGACACAGAGAUCUUUGUUCGCAUGAUUUCCUGCUGACCCUCUACCCGCUAUUACCCUAUUGUCCUGCCACUUCCCCCUCUCCCCUCUCCGGGAUGGUAAAGAGAUAAUGAUCAAUAAAUACUGAGGGAACUCAGAGACCGGUGCAGGUGCCGGAGCGCGUCCUCCGUAUGCUGAGCGCCGGUCCCCUGGGCCCACUUUUCUUUCUCUAUGUGUUGUCUCUGUGUCUCUCUCUUUUCUCAGUCUCUCGUCCCACCUGACGAGAAACGCCCACAGGUGUGGAGGGGCAGGCCACCCCUUCACAUAUAAUGAAAUAGGAAUCAGCCCUAAAAAGGAAGGAAUGGUGACACAGGCCACCACACGGACUCACCUGUGGGUAACGAGCAGUUCUCGUGGGUGCUGUACUGAAACGUUAAAACAAGACGGCGUCCCUGCGAGGCUCCCGAGGGAGGGAGCUGGAAGAUCCAGGCGGCAUCUUGAAAGUACAGCGUGUUCUCCACAAAUCUCCCAGGCCACAAGCAAGGAGCCAGCCGGCUCUGAAUUCUCCAGCACAGUCAGGGCGCAAGUCAAAGGGCUUCCGAUCAGACUUGAAGAGAUCCCGCAGGAAGUCCUGACGUUCACAGCAAGCAGGGCUCUGUGCGGGCCAACACGCCGCCCAUGGGUGCUCUGGAAAAUCACGUGAAGAUGGUGCAAGUUAGAGAGCCGUAAAAGCAAGUCUCAGGCCAGAUCCUGCCAAGUGCCUCGUUUGCAAACAAGCCCUAAA